RNAcentral lists this ribosomal RNA (612 nucleotides) under Saccharomyces cerevisiae (brewer's yeast). RNAcentral describes it as "eukaryotic LSU rRNA". It matches the Rfam family "Eukaryotic large subunit ribosomal RNA", at positions 40 to 664 of the family's 3401-position model. Lineage: Eukaryota; Fungi; Ascomycota; Saccharomycetes; Saccharomycetales; Saccharomycetaceae. The record is from RNAcentral.
UUUUCAAUAAGCGGAGGAAAAGAAACCAACCGGGAUUGCCUUAGUAACGGCGAGUGAAGCGGCAAAAGCUCAAAUUUGAAAUCUGGUACCUUCGGUGCCCGAGUUGUAAUUUGGAGAGGGCAACUUUGGGGCCGUUCCUUGUCUAUGUUCCUUGGAACAGGACGUCAUAGAGGGUGAGAAUCCCGUGUGGCGAGGAGUGCGGUUCUUUGUAAAGUGCCUUCGAAGAGUCGAGUUGUUUGGGAAUGCAGCUCUAAGUGGGUGGUAAAUUCCAUCUAAAGCUAAAUAUUGGCGAGAGACCGAUAGCGAACAAGUACAGUGAUGGAAAGAUGAAAAGAACUUUGAAAAGAGAGUGAAAAAGUACGUGAAAUUGUUGAAAGGGAAGGGCAUUUGAUCAGACAUGGUGUUUUGUGCCCUCUGCUCCUUGUGGGUAGGGGAAUCUCGCAUUUCACUGGGCCAGCAUCAGUUUUGGUGGCAGGAUAAAUCCAUAGGAAUGUAGCUUGCCUCGGUAAGUAUUAUAGCCUGUGGGAAUACUGCCAGCUGGGACUGAGGACUGCGACGUAAGUCAAGGAUGCUGGCAUAAUGGUUAUAUGCCGCCCGUCUUGAAACACGGGA